This 467-nucleotide long non-coding RNA is filed under the name Marmota monax (woodchuck). The record is from RNAcentral. Lineage: Eukaryota; Metazoa; Chordata; Mammalia; Rodentia; Sciuridae.
GAGGAACAUCCCCAGCCCUUUUUUGGUAUUUUAUUUAAAUAUAGGGUCUUGCUGAGUUUUAGAGACUCGCUAAAUUGCAGAGGCUGGCUUUGAACUCGCGAUCCUCCAGCCUCAGCCUCUCAAGCCACCACCACGCCAGAUUCAUUAACCAGUUUUAAAGAGAAGUUGCCUCUACCAAUGUUAAUGCAUGGAAUUGUGCACGUGGGAAGAGUUCAGUUAACAAUUAGCCUGUACAGUUAAAAACCUAACUCGGGGCUUUAAUCCGUCCUUUGCUUCAUCCGUGGUUAAUUAACUCAGUGAGCAGGGCAGGUCUGUGGAUCAUAUAACACUGAUUUGUUGUACCUGUGUCUCCUACGCGGAUCUCUCCUUAUUUCUUUGAGAUCCCUGGAGCCCCCUUAAAAUGAAAAUCACAUAAGCCACAUAGUUUAUAUUGUAAAUCAAACCAUCACACUCAAUAAAAUUGGUGA